RNAcentral lists this transfer-messenger RNA (370 nucleotides) under Eubacteriales. Its description in RNAcentral is "CAG-390 sp017632155 Standard tmRNA". It matches the Rfam family "transfer-messenger RNA". From Rfam's summary of the family: Bacterial tmRNA, also known as 10Sa RNA or SsrA, is named for its dual tRNA and mRNA-like properties. Its role is to liberate the mRNA from a stalled ribosome. To accomplish this part of the tmRNA is used as a reading frame that ends in a translation stop signal. Lineage: Bacteria; Bacillati; Bacillota; Clostridia. RNAcentral also lists the same sequence under 1 other name. The record is from RNAcentral.
GGGCCCGUAAAGGUUUCGACGGGGAUUUUGAGGUAUCAUAAGCGGGUAGAGCCGGGCAAUCUCUCCAAAGGCCUAACUUAAAAUUAAACGCUAACAAUAAAACUGUAGCAAUGGCUGCCUAAGGGCAGUGCCGCGGCAAUCAUGUCGCCCGUUCCUCCGAGGAGUUUCGCGGCCUCGGACUGAGCGUCAAAUGAGCGAAGCCCGUGCACCGAUGGUUCGCCAUUGAGUCGGUCACGCAAAAAAUGGCUACCCAACGAAGAAGUCUGUCCGUUGACGGCUUUUGAGGGGAAUUCUAAAUAACGGACUGCACCCGGAGAAGGUGAUAUCAAGAGGUUUUCGGACAGGGGUUCGAUUCCCCUCGGGUCCACCA